GACGAACGCUGGCGGCGUGCCUAAUACAUGCAAGUCGAGCGGACUGAAUGGGAGCUUGCUCUUGUUCGGUCAGCGGCGGACGGGUGAGUAACACGUGGGCAACCUGCCCGCAAGACCGGGAUAACUCCGGGAAACCGGAGCUAAUACCGGAUAACACCGAAGACCGCAUGGUCUUUGGUUGAAAGGCGGCGCAAGCUGCCACUUGCGGCUGGGCCCGCGGCGCAUUAGCUAGUUGGUGAGGUAACGGCUCACCAAGGCGACGAUGCGUAGCCGGCCUGAGAGGGUGACCGGCCACACUGGGACUGAGACACGGCCCAGACUCCUACGGGAGGUAGCAGUAGGGAAUCUUCCGCAAGGGGCGAAAGCCUGACGGAGCGACGCCGCGUGAGCGAAGAAGGCCUUCGGGUCGUAAAGCUCUGUUGUGAGGGACGAAGGAGCGCCGUUUGAAGAAGGCGGCGCGGUGACGGUACCUCACGAGGAAGCCCCGGCUAACUACGUG
This 499-nucleotide ribosomal RNA is filed under the name uncultured bacterium. RNAcentral describes it as "partial 16S ribosomal RNA". It matches the Rfam family "Bacterial small subunit ribosomal RNA", at positions 28 to 507 of the family's 1533-position model. The record is from RNAcentral.